AAGUCGUAACAAGGUUUCCGUAGGUGAACCUGCGGAAGGAUCAUUAACACGUAUCCAACGUUAAACCCCCCGUGAACCUUCAUUGUGCUCCCCCAUUCCGUUAGGACGGCAAUCCCUGGUAAAUCAUCGCCGAACAGUUUUGAUUCAGGGACCUCUGCAUGGAGUGGGCAGCAGCGCGAGGCAAGUGGCCUGGCAUUCGAAAGAAUGGCGCAGUAACGAUCGCUAGAGGCCGACACGGCCGGCGACCGGGUCACUGGGCUCACGCCCCCCUAUCACCUUUGCAUGAAAACGGGCCUGCGCUUAAUUGUGCGGCCACCAAACUCGAACAACUGUUAACAAUGGAUAUCUUGGUUCUC
Molecule: unclassified non-coding RNA, 356 nt
Filed under: fungal sp.
Lineage: Eukaryota; Fungi
Description: partial internal transcribed spacer region
Rfam family: Eukaryotic small subunit ribosomal RNA (bases 1-46)
Source: RNAcentral